This 253-nucleotide ribosomal RNA is filed under the name uncultured Conexibacter sp. Its description in RNAcentral is "partial 16S ribosomal RNA". It matches the Rfam family "Bacterial small subunit ribosomal RNA", at positions 524 to 776 of the family's 1533-position model. Lineage: Bacteria; Bacillati; Actinomycetota; Thermoleophilia; Solirubrobacterales; Conexibacteraceae. The record is from RNAcentral.
UACGUAGGGGGCGAGCGUUGUCCGGAAUCAUUGGGCGUAAAGCGCGUGUAGGCGGCUCGGUAAGUCUGCUGUGAAAGUCCAGGGCUCAACCCUGGGAUGCCGGUGGAUACUGUCGGGCUCGAGUCCGGAAGAGGAGUGUGGAAUUCCUGGUGUAGCGGUGAAAUGCGCAGAUAUCAGGAGGAACACCGAUGGCGAAGGCAGCACUCUGGGACGUGACUGACGCUGAGACGCGAAAGCGUGGGGAGCAAACAGG